Long non-coding RNA from Triticum aestivum (bread wheat), 2253 nucleotides. RefSeq lists it as uncharacterized. Lineage: Eukaryota; Viridiplantae; Streptophyta; Magnoliopsida; Poales; Poaceae. The transcript has 6 exons. The record is from RefSeq and is a predicted model, not a curated record.
ACCCUACAGCCCACCCCACCCCAAUCCCUCCAGCCGCCGCUACCCCACCCAUGUUUCUCCUCCACCCCUCUCCUCCCUCCUCGUCCGCGCGCGCACAUCACACAGCUCUCGCGUGCUCGCCUCCCGGACCAGCUACCGCCGCGCCGCUGGGGCUCGUCCGCCGCGGGUUUCCACGGGGAAGGAGCAGCGACGGGAGUAGGCCCCAGGCGGCGCACACUUCAUGGGAAGGCAAGGAACUAGGGGGUGAUGGGGUCGGAUCUAGUGGUGCUAGGUCGGAGCUCAAUCCCUCGCCUCCCGAACCAGCCGUCGACGCACCGCUGGGGCUUGGGUUUCCAUGGGGAAUCACUACAACAACAGCACUCCUCCCUCCUUCAUCCUCAUCAUCAGAGCCGCCGCACCUCUCCUUCCUCCUCGCUCGCACCCCUGCCGCGGCGCGCAUCCCUCCCCUUUCGAUCUAAUUUCAUUCUUGUUUCACAUGUUGGUUUGGUUGGCAAGAUACGUUGCGGCACCGACUGCAGUAGCCAUGGUUGGUGUUGGUGAUGUCUGUAGGUAUUUUCAUCCUCGCCAGUCACACAUUUCCUAGGUUAUGGGAUUGGAUCUCCCUUUUCUAAGACUCUACAGAAUGAUGUUGUGCACAUCCAAAUCCAAGCAAUGUAAGUGACCUAGCAUUUCACUGGUGGUAUGGUACAUCUCAUACAAUUUCUGAAUUCCAAUACCGUUCCUGUGUAGCUGGAUACUCCAUGGGGCAAAGUUGAAGCUUUGUAUCACUUCUCUCCAUGUUUAUUAAUGUUUCUUCAUGUUUGGCAGUGAUAUGGGUUUCCAUGUACUUGAUAUAUGCAUUCCUUAUCUUUAUGUGUUCCAUCUAUGUAUAUAUGUUUCUGCCCAUAAAUGUGUUUAUGAGCUGACUCCAGUUUUUACCGCUUUUCUAUGGCAAUUUGGAAAGGACCCUUCCAUGGUGCUCAGCCACAGUCCGAUUUCGAGGGAGAAUAGGAGACCCCGACGAAAACGAGCGUCCUAGCGGCGAACCCAAGGAUGCUAGUGAUUAUGGCAGGUCCAUGCUCCAGUUCUUCUAUUGGGCUACUCCCCCAAUGGUGAAAAUCCCCUACAGAAUGGUGCUGGAUGUCCUUUUAGAAUCUUUGGGCCUGCCAGUGGCUGAUUAUCGAACCAAAGCAUGCGAGGGUGGUUUGAAGUUACGAAGAACCCCAUUUUCAUUCAGAUAUGCACGCCUUUUUGUCAUGCAAAGUCUUUGCAUUUAGGUUUAUAUUAUUGAUUUGGGUUUAGUUGUUUAGAUCAAAACUGUAAUCUUGCAUGUAGAUUGGACAGAUUAAUUCUCACUUUGAGGACUCCGCUUUGUUCAUCAGAAUGUUUUUUCAAGUGCAUCAAGAACUUUGCUAUGAUGUUUUUCAAGUGCCUUUCCAUGUCUUCUUAUUUUGCUAAUUCAGAGUCGAGUAGAGAUAUUAUACUCCACCAUUUCUUCUGUUGUAAAUAAUUAUCCCUCCUACUUCAUUGUCUUAGUUUUUGUAUAGAUAACACUCACCAAUUCUUUUGUUCUGUCAGGUGUUCGCUCAAUUCAUGUGCUUGGGAUUUGUUUUGAUUGAUGGACCUCAAACCUGGUGCAAUAAUGCAUGAACUUGCCAAAAGGUUCAAAUCGGUAACUCGUGCCAAGGAUUGAGUCAUGGCUUUUGUAUGCGUCCCUAUCACUAUCACUCAUGCUUUUGUUUUCGGUACAGAUUUGUAAACGGACACUCUGUUUAUCAGGGUCGUUUCAGUUUUCAAGUGUCAUCAGUGGUACAUGGAUGGAUGGUGUCGUCAUUGCUCCGCUGCCCCAUGUUUUGGUUGUUUUGGUCCACGGCCGAGGCAAGAAAACCAAAAUCUGCACCAUGCCGAUAUGCUUCAUGACAAAACCACUUGCUUUCAUAUGUAUUGGACUACUGCAUCAUCGUCUUCGUCAAUGGAGGACGAAAUCAGUAGUAUCACCAGUCGGCCAGCGAGGAAGGCUGCUUGGAUCUGCCGCCGUGCCCACCUGCAACUUCCUAGGGCUAUUCGGCCACUUAGAGAACUUCUGGUGUCCAUAAGCAAUCUUAGUUGCUCACUAUGAUAAUUAGAAUGUAUGCAGUUUCCCUCUUUGCGUGUGUGCUUCUGUGUCUUUCCUGCUAUAUUCUCAGUCUAUGGAAUAGUCAUAUUAGGCAUGUAGUUUAUUUUAAUUUCUGUAUAAAAGCUUGGUACCAACAUACAAAUAUGAUUAUUUUUUCA